RNAcentral lists this unclassified non-coding RNA (1596 nucleotides) under Leishmania donovani. Its description in RNAcentral is "gene:LdHU3.05.0300(CDS-product:Ankyrin_repeat_put ative)". Lineage: Eukaryota; Euglenozoa; Kinetoplastea; Trypanosomatida; Trypanosomatidae. The record is from RNAcentral.
CACGCGCACGCAAAGAGCGACUUCACCGAUUCGGGUGUUGAGCGCAGCUCCCCCCUCCCUCCCCUUUCCUUUUAGCUUUCUUCUUCCGCGUUUUGCGGGUAGCUCAUGAGCACGCGUCCGCGCGAUAUCUGCACGGCUGCCUUUGAGGGCGACACGGCCCGCGUGGAGCAGCUCGUGACGGCGGCUGGCGUGUACAGCGGACGGUGGCACUCACCGUUUGUCGUCGACACGAGUGCUGCGGCGCGCGACGCGCUUGCUCACUGGGAGGGCGUCGGCAAUGAUGAGGAUGAUGAGGGCUAUGGCGGCGCCGAGGAGGAUAUAGAGGAGGUGCUGGGAGAAGAAGAAAUGGCGAAGCUGAAGGCGCACCCGGUCCUGCGUGGCAUCGUGAAGGCCUACAGUCUCGAUGAGCAAGCCCUCGGCGGCGCCGCCGAGGACGGCGAGGGCGCGGGUGCAUACAUGCAAGACGAUGAUGCCGCGCUACUCGACGAGGAGGCCGAGGAGGCGGCGGAGGUGGAUCGGCGGGCGCAACAGGGCGACAUCCUCCUCUACAAGCGUCUGCUUGCCCACCAACUGCACCGAGACAGCGUCGCCGAGCACAUUCAGCAGCACGGGUUGCUUCGCAUGAGCACAACGCCGCCGGUGGACAUGACCCUGUACGGUAUUCUCUUCUCGUGUCGCGAGGUGCCGACGGCUGCUGUUGGUGCAGCGGUGUCAGAGGAGAGCUCAGUGCCUCUGCAAGUGCGUUGGCAGCCGAGCAAGCGCAGCCGCUACGCUGGUACACCUCUCCACUGGGCUGUCCUUGCCCGCGCGCACGACACGGUGCGCUUCCUCGUGGAGCACGGCGCUGACUGCAGUGCAGGGCUAAAGGCAGUCACGAACGACGGCGCGGCGCCAGAUGCGCAGCUCGCGAUGUGCGAUCAGAAGGUGCUGGGGUCGCUGACGCCUGCGCGUAUGGCCGCUGACAACGAGUCGCACAGCACACUGGAGGUGCUGGAGAGGGCCGUGGCGGCGCAAGAAGCGAGGCGCGCGGACGAAGAGGCCUUCUUCAUUAUGCUAGAGAAACGUCUGCGGCGGCGCAGGGAGGAGUAUCUGCGCCGCUUCGAGGAAGCGCGUGCGCAGCGACUGCGUGAAGCUGAGGAGGCGAGGCGCGCAGAGGCGGAAGAAGGCGAGGAGGCCGAGGAGAGCGAUUUGUCCGGUGAAGACAAGAACGACAGCGGUAGCGAGAACAUCGACACUGGCGAAGAGGACGAGGAGGCGGACGGCUGAAGCGAUAAUGUGCACGCGUUUUUCGUGUGCGUUUAGGGGUGGGGAGGGGAGGGUGGCAUGGGAGCGGUGACCAAAAAGGUUGAACCGGCGGUUUGGAGGGAGGGAGAGAGCAUAGAUGGUGGAGCGACCCGCACACGCAUAUGUACCUUCACGCGUCUUCCAGUCGAAACCGCACCCCCUCCCUCCCUCCCUCCGGCCUCCCAUCUAACCUCCCACCUGCCUGCCUCUCACUCAUCUCUUGUCCAUCGCCAACCGUCUUCUUCGGCCCUCCCCUCUCCGCCCCCUCGCGUUCGCUUUCCGUCACCCGCACACCGAGCACUGAUACAAAAG